GAUGAACGCUGGCGGCGUGCCUAAUACAUGCAAGUCGAGCGAACAGACGCGGCGCUUGCUCCUCUGACGUUAGCGGCGGACGGGUGAGUAACGCGUGGAUCACCUACCUAUCAGACUGGGAUAACUUCGGGACACCGGCUCUAACACCGGAUAAUAUAUUGAACCGCAUGGUUCAAUAGUGAAAGACGGCUUUGCUGUCUCUUAUAGAUGGAUCCGCGCCGCAUUAGCUAGUUGGUAAGGUAACGGCUUACCACGGCAACGAUGCGUAACCGACGUGAGAGACUGAUCGGCCACACUGGAACUGGAACACGGUCCAGGCUCCUGCGGGAGGGAGCAGUAGGGAACCUUCGGCAAUGGGCGGAAGCCUGACGGAGCAACGCCGCGUGAGUGAUGAAGGUCUUCGGAUCGUAAAGCUCUGUUAUUAGGGAAGAACAAAUGUGUAAGUAACUAUGCACGUCGUGACGGUACCUAAUCAGAAAGCCACGGCUAACUACGUG
This 497-nucleotide ribosomal RNA is filed under the name uncultured bacterium. Its description in RNAcentral is "partial 16S ribosomal RNA". It matches the Rfam family "Bacterial small subunit ribosomal RNA", at positions 28 to 507 of the family's 1533-position model. The record is from RNAcentral.